AGAGUCACAGAAUGCUAUUUCAACCCUGUACAGCAAUCUUUAAUACACGCUAAAGUCUGGAGGACAGAUACUUCCUUUUCCAGAUAAACUUACAGAUCCAGAUGAAGGUACCCCAAGCAGCUUGAGAUGUGAUGAUGGAGACCAGUUUGAGAAGACCCAUCAUCUCUGAUUUCCCUCUGAUUAUGAAGUAAUACAACAAAGCUACAGAUCUCACUCUGUCACUCAGGCUGGAAUGCUGUGGCACAAUCAUAGCUUACUGCCGCCUCAAACUCCUGGGCUCAAGCGAUCCUGGCACUUGAGAUUACAGGCACACACCACCACACCUGGCUAAUUAAAAAAAAAAAAUGUGGAAAUGAGAUCUCCCUAUGUUGCUCAAGCUGGUCUCUAACUGCUGACCUGGCCUCAAGUGAGCUUCCCAUCUCAGGCUCUUGAAGUGCUAGAAUUACAAACAUGAGCCACAGUGCUUGCCCUCUCUUUUUUCUUCUUUAAUAAAAUAAGAUGUUAUAAAUACUUGUACCUGAUAUUCUAACAAAUAAAGGAAUAUAACGGUAAAUGUUCCUUUUAAGAAAGGCACGACCUCUAGUAAAACAUUUUUGCCAGAAAUUUGAAAUAUUUUAGAAAUAAAGAUGGCUAUGAUAUUCUACAAAAUAA
Molecule: long non-coding RNA, 651 nt
Filed under: Homo sapiens (human)
Lineage: Eukaryota; Metazoa; Chordata; Mammalia; Primates; Hominidae
Description: novel transcript
Source: RNAcentral